RNAcentral lists this unclassified non-coding RNA (347 nucleotides) under uncultured Coprinopsis. Its description in RNAcentral is "sequence contains ITS1". The stretch from base 1 to 105 matches the Rfam family "5.8S ribosomal RNA", at positions 50 to 154 of the family's 154-position model. Lineage: Eukaryota; Fungi; Basidiomycota; Agaricomycetes; Agaricales; Psathyrellaceae. The record is from RNAcentral.
GAAAUGCGAUAAGUAAUGUGAAUUGCAGAAUUCAGUGAAUCAUCGAAUCUUUGAACGCACCUUGCGCUCCUUGGUAUUCCGAGGAGCAUGCCUGUUUGAGUGUCAUCAAUUUCUCAACCUCACCAACUUUGUGUUGCGGUGAAGGCUUGGACGUGGGGGUUGCAGGCUCACAUACGUGGUCUGCUCCUCUGAAAUGCAUUAGUGGGUUAGCCCCCUAAUCUAUUGGUGUGAUAAUUAUCUACGCCGUGGAUUUGGAUGGCUGUUAAAGACCUGCUUCUAACUGUCCUUCUGGGACAACUCUUGACAAUUUUGACCUCAAAUCAGGUAAGACUACCCGCUGAACUUAA